GUGCUUACUUUAAGCAGCAACAGAUAAGAACCAGGGAACUACAUAGAGAAGAUCAGCAUGGCCCUUGUGCAAGGAUAAUACACAAAUUCACAAAGCAUGCCAUAUUAAA
Molecule: small nuclear RNA, 109 nt
Filed under: Phascolarctos cinereus (koala)
Lineage: Eukaryota; Metazoa; Chordata; Mammalia; Diprotodontia; Phascolarctidae
Source: RNAcentral